Homo sapiens (human) is the source of this 1853-nucleotide long non-coding RNA. Ensembl annotates it as PACRG antisense RNA 1. Its record names the gene PACRG-AS1. The record is from Ensembl. NCBI's taxonomy places the organism in Eukaryota, Metazoa, Chordata, Mammalia, Primates, Hominidae.
AGAGACAGAAACCUGCGGCAAUGGAGAAAAUGCUAAUACAGACAUCUUACUUCAGUGUCUGGCAAACAAGAUUAUACACUGAGGACGAUGUAGACGUCAGCUUCCCUGACGAGGGAAGCUGCAGCUUUCUGAUGAUUCCUGAAGCCUACAUUCUAUUAAUUUCCCCGAAGAGCCCUAUUGCCUAAUGGAACAUUGUGAGAAUGGCCAGUCUGGAAAGCAGGAUCAGUGGAGCUGGCUUCUGGCUCACUGGCUUUCAGCUGAGCCUUCCAAAUGGCUGGGAAUGAACAUCCAGUUAGAAGCCUCGGUUUGGAACAGUGGUUCUCAGACUUCAUGGUGUGUGACAGUCACUGGGGAACUUGUCCAAACACAGAUUGACAGACCCCAUCCCAAAGUUUCUGAUUCAGCGGCUCUAGGGAGGGCCCUAAGAACACGAGCUCCUCUUCCCAAGCUCCCAGGUGACGCUGAGGUUGCUGCCCCGGGAGCCCACUUUGAGAACUGCUGAUCUAGGGUGUGCUGGGGUAACUCUGGCUGUCAGAGGGGUCAGGACACUUGGUCUCCUUCUCUUUGGUCUCACUGAGAAUGUGAAUGUGAAUGGCCUUUUGAGGCCACUUGCACUGAGUCCUCUACAGGGCACACUGGACGGCGGGGGAGCGUCUGGAAGGGGUCUGCACACCGGCUUGCAGCCUCAGUGAUGCUCAUCUAGUGCGGGUCCUGCGUGGUCCCCAGAGGAACCCAGUGAGAAAUCCGGAGGAGACGGACAGAGAGGAGGAUGACUUCCUUUUGUAUUACAACGUCAUGAUUACAAAUAAUCAUAAUAGAGUGCCCAUUUUAAAGUGGCCUUUCCCUCCAAGCACACAGGAGACUCCCUCAGAUUCCCUAGGAAACCAAAGAAAUACUGAAUCUACUCCACAAAAGAACUAGGACGCACGUGUCUAUCCCGGUCUCUGGUCUCUUGUCCAGCGAUAGCAUCCUCCGGGCUGCGUGAACUCAGCUUGGGGCUGUGAAGGGACAGCCGUAUAUCUUGUCACCGAGGGCCACCGCAAUGGGGAGCUGCACCUGACACAUUUACAUUUCACAAAGAUAUCUGCCACUCCGUGGACACGGACCAGCAAGAGGCUUGGAUGACCUAGGAUUCUGAUGAUGUAUUCUCCAUUUCAAUUCUAGACUGUGUGCAAACUUCAUUCUUUCUUCUACGUUCUUUAGUUAUGACUAUUACAGGAGAAAGGAAAAAAUCGAAGGUGAAGGAAGCAAAGACAGAAAGGAAGGACGGUUUGGUGGCCAGAGCGAGGUCUUCCCACGUCACUCCCGGGACGUGUGCUGACGCGUUGCUCCUCCGUCCUGCAGAACGCCGUGGGUCGUGGCAGCAGCUGCAGCUGUUUCACAGGCUGUCCUCCCUGUAGACUAAGCAUCUACUCCGCGCUAUAGGGCAAUGCGAGACAAAAAAGACCCCCGGGAGCUUGCCAUCCAGCUGAGGAAGCCUAAUUAGCCACGCUUCCUGUAGCAUACAGUGGUCACUUUCUCCUCCAUGGAAGUAUGUCUGGGCCCACGCACCCCACUGCUUCCAGAGCCUCCACGCGCUGUGUGUCCCCCGUGGCGCUUUGCUUGCCACCGAGCCCUGCGUCUUGAGAACUCUGAACGGUUUGUUGUAGUCAAGACACUCGGAGAUCCUAGAGACGCGAAAAGCAGGAGGGGAACGUGUGACGGCCACUGCGAGGCUCAGGGAGAAUUUAAUUCAAAUUUGGAUUUUUCUCACUCUUACGCUUUGGGGCAAUACUGUUAAAUGGUAAAUAUAUAGCCAUUGUAUGAACAGCAAUACACAAAGGAGUUAUUUGGAAAUGAAAGCCUUAUUGAAG